GACGAACGCUGGCGGCGUGCUUAACACAUGCAAGUCGAACGGAAAGGCCCUGCUUUUGUGGGGUGCUCGAGUGGCGAACGGGUGAGUAACACGUGAGUAACCUGCCCUUGACCUUGGGAUGACUUCAGGAAACUGGGGCUAAUACCGGAUAGGAGCUCCUGCUGCAUGGUGGGGGUUGGAAAGUUUCGGCGGUUGGGGAUGGACUCGCGGCUUAUCAGCUUGUUGGUGGGGUAGUGGCUUACCAAGGCUUUGACGGGUAGCCGGCCUGAGAGGGUGACCGGCCACAUUGGGACUGAGAUACGGCCCAGACUCCUACGGGAGGCAGCAGUGGGGAAUAUUGCACAAUGGGCGGAAGCCUGAUGCAGCAACGCCGCGUGCGGGAUGACGGCCUUCGGGCUGUAAACCGCUUUCGCCUGUGACGAAGCGUGAGUGACGGUAAUGGGUAAAGAAGCACCGGCUAACUACGUG
This 468-nucleotide ribosomal RNA is filed under the name uncultured bacterium. RNAcentral's name for it is "partial 16S ribosomal RNA". It matches the Rfam family "Bacterial small subunit ribosomal RNA", at positions 28 to 507 of the family's 1533-position model. The record is from RNAcentral.